This 178-nucleotide long non-coding RNA is filed under the name Neodiprion pinetum (white pine sawfly). RNAcentral describes it as "uncharacterized LOC124223070, transcript variant X1". The record is from RNAcentral. Lineage: Eukaryota; Metazoa; Arthropoda; Insecta; Hymenoptera; Diprionidae.
UAUUCCAGAGGAGCAAGCAAUAGCCAUGGGUAGCGUUCUGGAGAAUGACGAUGAUUCACUUUUUGAUUUUCAAGAUGUCGAAUACUUAUUAGAUGCGUCAAUUGAUAGACCACCGACAGAGCCUACUCCAAGCUGUUCAUCAGGAACCCCGGGGCAGACUUGCAAAAAAAUGCGUGUG